UACGGAGGGGGCUAGCGUUGUUCGGAAUUACUGGGCGUAAAGCGCACGUAGGCGGCUUUGUAAGUCAGGGGUGAAAUCCCGGGGCUCAACCUCGGAACUGCCUUUGAUACAGCAUAUCUUGAGUCCGAUAGAGGUGGGUGGAAUUCCUAGUGUAGAGGUGAAAUUCGUAGAUAUUAGGAAGAACACCGGUGGCGAAGGCGGCCCACUGGAUCGGUACUGACGCGGAGGUGCGAAAGCGUGGGGAGCAAACAGG
Molecule: ribosomal RNA, 253 nt
Filed under: uncultured bacterium
Lineage: Bacteria
Description: partial 16S ribosomal RNA
Rfam family: Bacterial small subunit ribosomal RNA
Source: RNAcentral